Molecule: ribosomal RNA, 253 nt
Filed under: uncultured bacterium
Lineage: Bacteria
Description: partial 16S ribosomal RNA
Rfam family: Bacterial small subunit ribosomal RNA
Source: RNAcentral
UACGUAGGGUGCGAGCGUUGUCCGGAAUUAUUGGGCGUAAAGGGCUCGUAGGCGGUUUGUCGCGUCGGGAGUGAAAACCUUGGGCUUAACUCAGGGCUUGCUUUCGAUACGGGCAGACUAGAGGUAUGCAGGGGAGAACGGAAUUCCUGGUGUAGCGGUGAAAUGCGCAGAUAUCAGGAGGAACACCGGUGGCGAAGGCGGUUCUCUGGGACGGUACUGACGCUGAGACGCGAAAGCAUGGGGAGCGAACAGG